RNAcentral lists this ribosomal RNA (253 nucleotides) under uncultured bacterium. Its description in RNAcentral is "partial 16S ribosomal RNA". It matches the Rfam family "Bacterial small subunit ribosomal RNA", at positions 524 to 776 of the family's 1533-position model. The record is from RNAcentral.
UACGGGGGGGGUAAGCGUUGUUCGGAAUUACUGGGCGUAAAGGGCUCGUAGGCGGCCAACUAAGUCAUACGUGAAAUCCCUCAGCUUAACUGGGGAACUGCGUCCGAUACUGGAUGGCUUGGAUUUGGGAGAGGGAUGCGGAAUUCCAGGUGUAGCGGUGAAAUGCGUAGAUAUCUGGAGGAACACCGGUGGCGAAGGCGGCAUCCUGGACCAAUAUUGACGCUGAGGAGCGAAAGCCAGGGGAGCAAACGGG